Molecule: transfer RNA, 73 nt
Organism: Camelus ferus (Wild Bactrian camel)
Lineage: Eukaryota; Metazoa; Chordata; Mammalia; Artiodactyla; Camelidae
Rfam family: tRNA
About the family: Transfer RNA (tRNA) molecules are approximately 80 nucleotides in length.
Source: Rfam
AAGGGUAUCGCUCAAUUGGUAGAGCGCAUGCUCAGCACGCAUGAGGUCUCGGGUUCAAUCCCCAGUACCUCCU